GGAAGAUGGCGGACGAGGAGAAGCUGCCGCCCGGCUGGGAGAAGCGCAUGAGCCGCAGCUCAGGCCGAGUAUACUACUUCAACCACAUCACUAACGCCAGCCGGUGGGAGCGGCCCAGCGGCAACAGCAGCAGUGGUGGCAAAAACGGGCAGGGGGAGCCCGCCAGGGUCCGCUGCUCGCACCUGCUGGUGAAGCACAGCCAGUCAAGGCGGCCCUCGUCCUGGCGGCAGGAGAAAAUCACCCGGACCAAGGAGGAGGCCCUGGAGCUGAUCAACGGCUACAUCCAGAAGAUCAAGUCGGGAGAGGAGGACUUUGAGUCUCUGGCCUCACAGUUCAGCGACUGCAGCUCGGCCAAGGCCAGGGGAGACCUGGGUGCCUUCAGCAGAGGUCAGACGGAGAAGCCAUUUGAAGACGCCUGGUUUGCGCUGCGGACGGGGGAGAUGAGCGGGCCUGUGUUCACGGAUUCCGGCAUCCACAUCAUCCUCCGCACUGAGUGAGGGUGGGGAGCCCAGGCCUGGCCUCGGGGCGGGGCAGGGCAGCUGGGCCUGCUAGCUCCCCUCUUGCCCGCCAGCCAGUAGCCGAACCCCCCACUCCCUGCCACCGUCACACGGUCCUGGAGGCAGACUUGAGGACCGAGUUAUUUCUAGUUAGGGCACGCUCCUCUGUUCAGUCGCAAAAGCAAACACUUGUGCGGCCCAGCCAUGGGCCCUCUGAGCAACUGUGCAGCACCCUUUCACCCCCAAUUAAACCCGGAACCACUAAAAAAAAAAAA
Mandrillus leucophaeus (drill) is the source of this 772-nucleotide RNA transcript. It is a transcript of the gene named peptidyl-prolyl cis-trans isomerase NIMA-interacting 1 pseudogene, with no coding region annotated. Lineage: Eukaryota; Metazoa; Chordata; Mammalia; Primates; Cercopithecidae. The transcript is spliced from 2 exons. The record is from RefSeq and is a predicted model, not a curated record.